Molecule: transfer RNA, 65 nt
Filed under: Arisubathynella cheongmiensis
Lineage: Eukaryota; Metazoa; Arthropoda; Malacostraca; Bathynellacea; Parabathynellidae
Description: tRNA-Asp
Source: RNAcentral
AAAAAAAUAGUUAAUAAAUUAACAAUAUUUUGUCAAAAUAUAAUUGUCAUAUAAGACUUUUUUUU